ACGAAUAUUGAUGGAUACGGCAAGAAUGAUGUGUAAACACAUAGAUAUGAAACUAUGGUAACAAAUUCACGUCUGAAGUAUGAACAGGACACAGAACAAACACGAUACUAAAUUACUAUUCGUCAAAGGAUUACACGUAACCAAUCAAAACUACAAACGAAACACAUAGAGAGAUGCCGUUCCGAGGAUUAUCUCCUGAGCAACGCACAAUACAGGCUGAUGAUCGCAUUGAAUUAUACCGCGUCAGAACGUUGAAAUACUCGGAAUGGUUCGAUUCGUCUCGCCUAUAAGCCAUACAUCCUGGAAAAAUUAGCCUCACUGAUAUCAACUUAUAUUCGAGGUUGAAAACUGAUUAGAUGGGAAAUUAAACUCUGAAUUAGCUGAGUGAUAUAUGAAAGAGAAAUCUUAUAAUUAUACUCAGGAGCCAUAAAAAAGAAUGGAUAUUUCUGUGAUAACAUAAGAAAUCAAAAUAUAAUAAACUUGGUCAUCUAUGAAGGUAAAGAAGAAAAUUUAACGUAAAUGAUAACAAAGGUAAUAUUACAAAUUUUAAUUUAGAUUUGAAUACAACAGAACAUUUGGUAAGACUAAAGUUUGGAUAAUGUAUAGAGGGAUUACCUUGAGUACGUUAUUUGUUUUUGAUGAUAGUAAUUAAUAUCAGAAUUACUUAUCAUCUAAACUGUAGAAAUAUAUAUAUAUAUAUAUAUAUAUAUAGUUGUAUUAUAUGUUUUGAUGUUUGAUGACUUGAUUUUCUUAACUUAACAUCCAGAUUUCAGAAGUGUUGUUUUAAGUAAUCAUUCAAAUAUGUGAUGUGGCAAAUGACUUUUAUUUGGAAAUUGUUCUACAUAAAGUGCUAUACUAUGACAUAUUAUAUACAUUCUUAUUGUAAAUUAAAGGUGUUUAAAUAUUUUCCUUGUUAUUAUAUCAUUGAUAAUUGUAACUAUCUUCCUUAAGGAUUACAACAAGAGUUAUUAUUGAAUUAUAUUAUCUACAACUAUAGUAGCAGAUGUAAAACAUGUCAAUGUUCAUGAUCAUUACAUGAUUGGUUUUACAAAUUUAAUUGUAAAUGUUGUACCUUAUAUAUGUUGUACCUCAUUAUUCGUAUCUAUAUUCAAGUAUUACCAAAAUUAUUGGUAUUCAAGUUUGUAUGAAGGUUAUGAUAUUAUAGAUAAUUGGAUUGAUUUUAAUCUCAUCUGUAAUGCAACAAUGGUAAAAAUAUGUCAUUUUAAAAAAACAUCCAUGAUCUUAAAAUUUUAAAAAACAUGAUCCUGAAAAAAUUUGUUAUUAUAAUAUUUAUUAUACUUACUAUGCAUACUAUAAUAUUUGUCUCCUUAAAUCUACAAUAUUUUUUGUUGUUAUGGAAACUAAAUAGAUAUUCAAGGUGAAUGAGUUAUAUUAUUCAUCCUGCGAGUCUCAUUUGUUUUUAUAUGAGGUAACAUGAAUUUUUUGAUAAUCAGAAAAAUGGUAUCAAACAUAAUAACUUUUAUCUGAGGUAAUAUUUUUUAUGCUGUAUAGCUAAAGAAUUAUAUUGAAAUUUUUAUUUUAUUUAAAACCAUUAUAUUAAAAUUUAUUUCAUUAAAUGUUUAAAGAGUUGUUCAUUUGUUUCCAAAUAUACAUUUAUUUGUAUAACAUCUUUACAAAUAUAUUAUAAUAUUGCAUUAGCUGUGAAUUUAUAUGUAGUAUACAUUUUUUUUGCAGGACUCAUUCUAUUAUGUAUUUCUAUUAAAAAAAAUCACAUCCUAAUGACUCGUUUGGCUCAUCAUUCUAGUUUGACAGAUCGUUGUGAUCACCCUCUUUGUGCAUGAACACAGUGUUUGGAAGUUUUCCAAUCCGAGGGAACCGACUCCAGACGCAGACAUAAACGAAAUAAUGAGGUCAGCAAAUGCGACCCCGGAUCUGCUCUCUUCAGGUCAUUGUAAGUAAGGUCGUUAGGUCCGGGCGUAGAAUUAGUCAUGCGCCUGAUCCGACGGCCUACUUCACUCGCCUUGAAGAUCUUCACCAAGGCCGCAUCGCUGGUCUCGUCUGGAGUCUCAAACGGAAGGGGGAGGCCUAGCCAGGUUGCCCGCCGAUGAGUACAUAUCCCGAAAGUACUCAUGGACCCGGUUCUUAGACACUUGACAAUGCAAAGACGAUCCCAUGAUCUCCUUUUGGAUUGCACGCUGACGGUUCUGUCUGAAAAGCAAUCGGAUACGUGUAGCCGCUGGCACCUUUACCCCUCCUUAUUCGGCUAUGCUUUAUAAACAGUUCGAAAAUAGUAAAAUAAGUCAAAUAGAGGGAGCUUUUAAAGUUAAAUCAGAAAUGAGUAGAGCAGCAGUAUCAGCUCAAGAGAAUUUAUUGCCGAGGUUUAGAGUCCUAUGUCAAAGUACUGUGUCAGAACAUCUUAGAGAAUUUGACACUAUCUACUCUGAAAAUACAAACACAAUAAAAACUGAAAAAAUGGAGGUAGGUUUGAAAUUAAUGGAAAAAGGUGAUGAAGUAUAUAUUUUAUAGAAAAGGCAGAUUACACAUUACACAUUAUACUAUCGACCAGAGGCUACGCGAAGAAACGCGUCUAUAACAACUGAACAACGAAAUAAAGAAGAAACGCGGCAACGAACGCGUUCCAGACGAAUUAUUUUUAUCGGUGGAGAUUUUCCGAGUUACUAUUUUACUUCAACGUUUUCCCUAAAACUCAACUGUCGCGAUGUAAGGUGUUAUUGAAUACUCGCGACAAAUAUGUUUGUAAGUUAUUUAUUUAUGUAGACGAGUGUUCGGAGGCAGAACGGGUAAUCUGCUUCCUCGCGCCUUUCCGCUUUAUUUAUUUGCGUCUUCGGAAAGACGUUAUCCCUUGGAAACUUUGAGGGUGGAGCUAAUUCCCUUCUCCAACGUCACCUCGAUUUUUGGCAGGGGAAAAAAUUGUGGAUUUCUAAUUCGGAAUCUUUUUCCCGAGCCGCGCUGAUCGUGCGGCCGAAGAAGCCUUAACGGGACAUGGCUGGCA
Nomia melanderi (Alkali bee) is the source of this 2974-nucleotide long non-coding RNA. RefSeq lists it as uncharacterized. The record is from RefSeq and is a predicted model, not a curated record. Lineage: Eukaryota; Metazoa; Arthropoda; Insecta; Hymenoptera; Halictidae.